AAUGAGUGUGAGCUCGUGAGUGGGCGCCGCCACCACCGCCCCCGCCGCCGUCGUCUCGGUAGCAGCCUUCGCCACGCCGGGGUCUUCAGCUCCACCGGGGCCAUGUCAGAGCGAGAAGAGCGGCGGUUUGUGGAGAUCCCUCGGGAGUCUGUCCGGCUCAUGGCGGAGAGCACGGGCCUGGAGCUGAGCGAUGAGGUGGCGGCGCUGCUCGCAGAGGACGUGUGUUAUCGUCUGAGAGAGGCCACGCAGAAUAGCUCUCAGUUCAUGAAGCACACCAAACGCCGGAAGCUGACGGUUGAGGACUUCAACAGGGCCCUCAGAUGGAGCAGCGUGGAGGCUGUGUGUGGUUACGGAUCCCAGGAGGCACUGCCCAUGCGCCCCGCCAGGGAGGGUGAACUCUACUUUCCUGAGGAUCGAGAGGUGAACCUGGUGGAGCUGGCCCUGGCUACCAACAUCCCCAAAGGCUGUGCUGAGACAGCUGUCAGAGUUCAUGUCUCCUACCUGGAUGGCAAAGGGAACCUGGCACCUCAAGGAUCGGUGCCCAGUGCUGUGUCUUCACUGACAGAUGACCUUCUCAAGUACUAUCACCAGGUGACUCGUGCUGUGCUAGGGGAUGAUCCGCAACUGAUGAAGGUUGCACUCCAGGACUUGCAGACGAACUCCAAGAUUGGGGCGCUCCUGCCUUACUUUGUUUAUGUGGUCAGUGGGGUGAAAUCUGUAAGCCAUGACCUGGAGCAACUGCACCGGCUGCUGCAGGUGGCACGGAGCCUGUUUCGUAAUCCACACCUGUGCUUGGGGCCCUAUGUCCGCUGUCUGGUGGGCAGUGUCCUCUACUGUGUCCUGGAGCCACUGGCUGCCUCCAUCAACCCCCUAAAUGACCACUGGACUCUGCGGGAUGGGGCUGCCCUCCUGCUCAGCCACAUCUUCUGGUAGCCACUGGGCCUAAACCUGAGGGUGGGAUUGCUGCAGAACCAAGUGGGUUGGGGUAAGGAAAUGGGGCGAAGCCUCUGGCUUUGAGGGUCUAUGAGAAAAUGGGGAACCUUUUCCCUAGGAGCAUCCUA
This 1061-nucleotide small RNA is filed under the name Pongo abelii (Sumatran orangutan). RNAcentral's name for it is "retained intron". The record is from RNAcentral. Lineage: Eukaryota; Metazoa; Chordata; Mammalia; Primates; Hominidae.